GGCUUUCAUCACUGGAAGCAACACUUAAAUUCUGCCACCAUGUUUGGAUUGGGGAGCUCCUGUCUAGGGGGUGAAGGAGAAGGGUUCUUCAUUAAUGGAAAUGUUGAUUCAGGUUUUAUCUCCACAACGUUUUCAGGACCGUAAGAUCUGGUGUACAAUGGCCACAAGGGGACUCCUGGGCAAAAGAAAACAGUUCAUUCCUCUAAAAAUGGACAGAGCAAUAAGACUGAACAGUGAAGAAGGAAACUGCCAGAAAGAUGAAUUCCAAGAGUGUGAAGUAUGCCUCUUGAAUCUACUCACUAGAACAUUAGAAGUCCUUUGGAGAAAUCAAGAAGACAUUAGUUUCAGAGAAACUGCUUUUCUUGUUGGUUACUGGCCACUGUGUCUGGCCUGAAGCAGAAGGAGCCUUGGGACUGCUGUUUUAGAGAUGGAGGAUAGACUGCAAGCCAGAGAUUACACUGAAGAGAAACGUCUUCUCAGAAAUGUAUCGAACAAGGAACAUAGAAUAGUCAAGAGUACCACCUGUUUUUAAAUUUCAGAAAGCCAAAACCACAAGCAAUAAGCAGGAUACAAUUAUGAAGAAGAGACACAGCUGAUUGUACUUUAUAUUUUAAAAACAGAAUUUCAGAAUUAGGAGAAUAAACUCAAUAUUUGCCUGAGUCUGAGGUUAAAU
RNAcentral lists this long non-coding RNA (673 nucleotides) under Anas platyrhynchos platyrhynchos (common mallard). RNAcentral's name for it is "lncRNA (ENSAPLG00000016562.1)". Lineage: Eukaryota; Metazoa; Chordata; Aves; Anseriformes; Anatidae. The record is from RNAcentral.